RNAcentral lists this transfer RNA (74 nucleotides) under Candidatus Burkholderia crenata. Its description in RNAcentral is "tRNA-Arg". It matches the Rfam family "tRNA". From Rfam's summary of the family: Transfer RNA (tRNA) molecules are approximately 80 nucleotides in length. Their secondary structure includes four short double-helical elements and three loops (D, anti-codon, and T loops). The record is from RNAcentral. Lineage: Bacteria; Pseudomonadati; Pseudomonadota; Betaproteobacteria; Burkholderiales; Burkholderiaceae.
CUGUCCGUAGCUCAGUGGAUGAGAGCGCCUGCUUCCGAUGCAGGAUGCCGCGGGUUCGAAUCCUGCCGGACAGU